Molecule: ribosomal RNA, 540 nt
Filed under: uncultured archaeon
Lineage: Archaea
Description: bacterial SSU rRNA
Rfam family: Bacterial small subunit ribosomal RNA
Source: RNAcentral
CAGCCGCCGCGGUAAUACGUAGGGGGCGAGCGUUGUCCGGAUUUACUGGGCGUAAAGGGUGAGUAGGCGGUUAUGUAAGUCAGAUGUAAAAGGCAUAGGCUCAACUUAUGUAAGCAUUUGAAACUGCAUGACUUGAGUGCAGGAGAGGUAAGCGGAAUUCCUAGUGUAGCGGUGAAAUGCGUAGAUAUUAGGAGGAACACCAGUGGCGAAGGCGGCUUACUGGACUGUAACUGACGCUGAGUCACGAAAGCGUGGGUAGCAAACAGGAUUAGAUACCCUGGUAGUCCACGCUGUAAACGAUGAGUGCUAGGUGUUGGGUAGCAAUACUCAGUGCCGCAGUAAACACAAUAAGCACUCCGCCUGGGGAGUACGGUCGCAAGACUGAAACUCAAAGGAAUUGACGGGGACCCGCACAAGCAGCGGAGCAUGUGGUUUAAUUCGAAGCAACGCGAAGAACCUUACCAAGGCUUGACAUCCCCUUGACAGGUGCAGAGAUGUACCCUCCUCUUCGGAGGCAAGGGUGACAGGUGGUGCAUGGCC